UACGUAGGGGGCAAGCGUUGUCCGGAUUUAUUGGGCGUAAAGAGCGUGUAGGCGGCCAGGUAAGUCCGCUGUGAAAGUCGGGGGCUCAACCCUCGAAUGCCGGUGGAUACUGUCGGGCUAGAGUGCGGGAGAGGCGAGUGGAAUUCCUGGUGUAGCGGUGAAAUGCGCAGAUAUCAGGAGGAACACCAAUUGCGAAGGCAGCUCGCUGGAACGUAACUGACACUGAGGGACGAAAGCUAGGGGAGCGAAUGGG
This 253-nucleotide ribosomal RNA is filed under the name uncultured bacterium. RNAcentral's name for it is "partial 16S ribosomal RNA". It matches the Rfam family "Bacterial small subunit ribosomal RNA", at positions 524 to 776 of the family's 1533-position model. The record is from RNAcentral.